AGUGAACGCUGGCGGUAGGCCUAACACAUGCCAGUCGAACGGCAGCACAGUAAGAGCUUGCUCUUACGGGUGGCGAGUGGCGGACGGGUGAGGAAUACAUCGGAAUCUACUUUUUCGUGGGGGAUAACGUAGGGAAACUUACGCUAAUACCGCAUACGACCUACGGGUGAAAGCAGGGGAUCUUCGGACCUUGCGCGAUUGAAUGAGCCGAUGUCGGAUUAGCUAGUUGGCGGGGUAAAGGCCCACCAAGGCGACGAUCCGUAGCUGGUCUGAGAGGAUGAUCAGCCACGCUGGAACUGAGACACGGUCCAGACUCCUACGGGAGGCAGCAGUGGGGAAUAUUGGACAAUGGGCGCAAGCCUGAUCCAGCCAUACCGCGUGGGUGAAGAAGGCCUUCGGGUUGUAAAGCCCUUUUGUUGGGAAAGAAAAGCAGCAGGUUAAUACCCCGCUGUUCUGACGGUACCCGAAGAAUAAGCACCGGCUAACUUCGUG
Molecule: ribosomal RNA, 492 nt
Filed under: uncultured bacterium
Lineage: Bacteria
Description: partial 16S ribosomal RNA
Rfam family: Bacterial small subunit ribosomal RNA
Source: RNAcentral